GAUGAAGAACGUAGCGAAAUGCGAUAAGUAAUGUGAAUUGCAGAAUUCAGUGAAUCAUCGAAUCUUUGAACGCACCUUGCACUCCUUGGUAUUCCGAGGAGUACGCCUGUUCGAGUGUUAUGAAGCUCUCAAAACGCAAUUGGCUUAAAACCUGAUUGUUGUUUUGGAUUUGAACUUUGCCGUGUUAUAACGGCUGGUUUUAAAAGUAUUAGCUGGUACUAGAACGAAUUGGUUCUACUCAACGUGAUAAUUAUCUGAUCGUUGAGGACAUUCCUUUCACGAGGAAUGGCCAUAGUAAAUUCAAUGGACUGCUUCUAAUCUGGCUUUAAUUCUUUAUUGGAUUAACCACUUUUCAAAUCUGACCUCGAAUCAGGUGGGACUACCCGCUGAACUUAAGCAUAUCAAUAAGCGGAUGA
RNAcentral lists this unclassified non-coding RNA (416 nucleotides) under soil metagenome. RNAcentral describes it as "partial contains 5.8S ribosomal RNA, internal transcribed spacer 2, and large subunit ribosomal RNA". The stretch from base 1 to 120 matches the Rfam family "5.8S ribosomal RNA", at positions 35 to 154 of the family's 154-position model. The record is from RNAcentral.